RNAcentral lists this ribosomal RNA (497 nucleotides) under uncultured bacterium. Its description in RNAcentral is "partial 16S ribosomal RNA". It matches the Rfam family "Bacterial small subunit ribosomal RNA", at positions 28 to 507 of the family's 1533-position model. The record is from RNAcentral.
GAUGAACGCUGGCGGCGUGCCUAAUACAUGCAAGUCGAGCGAACGGACGAGAAGCUUGCUUUUCUGAUGUUAGCGGCGGACGGGUGAGUAACACGUGGAUAACCUACCUAUAAGACUGGGAUAACUUCGGGAAACCGGAGCUAAUACCGGAUAAUAUUUUGAACCGCAUGGUUCAAAAGUGAAAGACGGUCUUGCUGUCACUUAUAGAUGGAUCCGCGCUGCAUUAGCUAGUUGGUAAGGUAACGGCUUACCAAGGCAACGAUGCAUAGCCGACCUGAGAGGGGGACAGGCCACACUGGAACUGAGACACGGUCCAGACUCCUACGGGAGGCAGCAGUAGGGAAUCUUCCGCAAUGGGCGAAAGCCUGACGGAGCAACGCCGCGUGAGUGAUGAAGGUCUUCGGAUCGUAAAACUCUGUUAUUAGGGAAGAACAUAUGUGUAAGUACCUGUGCACAUCUUGACGGUACCUAAUCAGAAAGCCACGGCUAACUACGUG